UCACCUUGUGCAUGGGAACAACUCCUGGAUAAGUCAUAUCCAUCAUUUGACACUGCACAGCACCAGAUGCACCCUAGCCAAAUGAUUGGUAUAAAAAAAAUUAAAGAUAUUAAUAUUUCAGAGAAGUCCAAAAUAUAUGUGAUAAAACCAUUAUUGAAACCUAUCUCAUGCAAAGAUAAAGACUCUGAGAGCUACAAAACUAACGUUCAUUUAUCUCUAAACAUAAAAUCCAGAGAAAAGCAUAUAAACAAGUAACUCACAAUCUCAACGCAAUUGGGGCAAAAAGCAUAUCAAGAACUGAAUGGAAACACCUAUGAAAUCCAAAUUACCUAUAAAACCAAAUAUUAAGAGUCGUGCAGAAAAACUGAUUGACAGCCUAGUGCUAAAUGUUCUGAAGGCCAAAUUAGUAAUCCUAAUAAAAAAACGCAUCAAUAUUUAUAAAUCAUCAUCAACCUAUUUAUCCCUAAAGCAGAGCUGCAAGAUAAGGACAGCACAAACUUUGACUAAAAAAUCCGUCAAAUGAACUUCAUAAGAGGGGACAGUGAUUAGCAUAUCUAGCAAAAGAAAAAAAAAGUUAUUGAACCUAAAUUGUGCUGCCAGGUAUCAAGACCGUGAAACCACCAUAUUCACUUGAGUCAUAUGAACAUUAGCUCCUAAAUUUCUAUGGCACUUGACACCAAAAUGGAAACUCUCUAUCAGACCGUAAGGAGGAAAACAGAAUCUGAAAAUUUUAAUUUCAUCGUCAUUAAAAUGUUUCGCUGCUCGCACUUUUUUGGUUUCAAAAAGGAAUAAAUAAAAAAAAAUAGAGUAAUUCCAUGUGAAUUCAGUUAAAAUAUUUCAUUAACAUCAAGUUAAUUGUACUAUUGAGGGUACUUUUAAUGGAAUCUUACCAGCAAAAACUUUUCACCAUAUCCAAUAAGGUUAUUCUACAAAAACCAGUUGAGGGUUUUGUAAAGAUGAAAAGGCAUCAUUCCAAAAUAAAUUUCUUGGCAUUGACAAUUGCUAUCUAGACAGAAGUUAAAACCAUGUACUGCUAAUGCCUAACUAAUUCUGAGCCAUGAAAAAAAUGCACCUUAAGCCAUCUUUUUAAAAAUUAGGAAAUGCCACAGCAUAAAACAAUAUCAGACAAUCGUCUAAUUCAAUUUUUUUACUUUUCCCACAAAAUUCCAUUUCCACGAUUUGAGUGCAGCGCCCCUGCAACAAUUUGAUUUUUAUGUUUCAACAAUAACAUCUGUACAUUAGAUGGAUAACAUAUAUAAGAUUUCCUCUUUGUUUCAACCGCUACAUUGCCAGUACACAAUAAUCAAGUACGGCAGUAUAUAAACACAAUAAAUUAGGAGGAAAAUGUAACCCAGAAAAUAAUAAUAAUAAUUCUUCAUUUGGUAUAUGGAGAAAUGAAAAUUUGAGCUCAUAGAAAGACGAAUAAGCGUCCAGAAGCAUCCUUUCUAGAAAACAGAAUCCCAUUUUUUAAGCAAGCUAUAUAUAAUUGCUUGGAAACACUUUCUCAUGCAUGCCAAGAAUUCGUUAAACUACACACAAAAUCACAGACAAUGUUCCCUCAAAUUAGAUAAAAAUCCAAAAUUUAACAAGCAACAACAUAAUCCACUGAAAGAACACCGGCAAUAAACCAGAAAAUUUAAAAAGAGGAACCUCUUCAAUGCGAG
RNAcentral lists this unclassified non-coding RNA (1664 nucleotides) under Hevea brasiliensis (rubber tree). The record is from RNAcentral. Lineage: Eukaryota; Viridiplantae; Streptophyta; Magnoliopsida; Malpighiales; Euphorbiaceae.